Molecule: ribosomal RNA, 161 nt
Filed under: Hordeum roshevitzii
Lineage: Eukaryota; Viridiplantae; Streptophyta; Magnoliopsida; Poales; Poaceae
Description: 5.8S ribosomal RNA
Rfam family: 5.8S ribosomal RNA
About the family: 5.8S ribosomal RNA (5.8S rRNA) is a component of the large subunit of the eukaryotic ribosome.
Source: RNAcentral
ACGACUCUCGGCAACGGAUAUCUCGGCUCUCGCAUCGAUGAAGAACGUAGCGAAAUGCGAUACCUGGUGUGAAUUGCAGAAUCCCGCGAACCAUCGAGUCUUUGAACGCAAGUUGCGCCCGGGGCCACUCGGUCGAGGGCACGCCUGCCUGGGCGUCACGC